RNAcentral lists this ribosomal RNA (460 nucleotides) under uncultured bacterium. Its description in RNAcentral is "partial 16S ribosomal RNA". It matches the Rfam family "Bacterial small subunit ribosomal RNA", at positions 338 to 795 of the family's 1533-position model. The record is from RNAcentral.
CCUACGGGUGGCAGCAGUGAGGAAUAUUGGUCAAUGGACGAGAGUCUGAACCAGCCAAGUAGCGUGAAGGAUGAAUGCCCUAUGGGUUGUAAACUUCUUUUAUAUGGGAAUAAAAUGGUCCACGUGUGGGAUUUUGUAUGUACCAUAUGAAUAAGGAUAGGCUAACUCCGUGCCAGCAGCCGCGGUAAUACGGAGGAUCCGAGCGUUAUCCGGAUUUAUUGGGUUGAAAGGGAGCGUAGGUGGAUUGUUAAGUCAGUUGUGAAAGUUUGCGGCUCAACCGUAAAAUUGCAGUUGAAACUGGCAGUCUUGAGUACAGUAGAGGUGGGCGGAAUUCGUGGUGUAGCGGUGAAAUGCUUAGAUAUCACGAAGAACUCCGAUUGCGAAGGCAGUUCACUGGACUGCAACUGACACUGAGGCUCGAAAGUGUGGGUAUCAAACAGGAUUAGAUACCCCAGUAGUC